This 72-nucleotide transfer RNA is filed under the name Cephalopholis sonnerati (tomato hind). RNAcentral's name for it is "tRNA-Ser". Lineage: Eukaryota; Metazoa; Chordata; Actinopteri; Perciformes; Serranidae. The record is from RNAcentral.
GAGAAAGGUCCGCACGACAGAUGAAUCCUGCUAAACUUCAUAAUCCCCGGUUGAACUCCGGGGCUUUCCUCG